RNAcentral lists this transfer RNA (72 nucleotides) under Microcaldota archaeon. RNAcentral describes it as "Candidatus Micrarchaeota archaeon (hot springs metagenome) tRNA-Ala". It matches the Rfam family "tRNA". From Rfam's summary of the family: Transfer RNA (tRNA) molecules are approximately 80 nucleotides in length. Their secondary structure includes four short double-helical elements and three loops (D, anti-codon, and T loops). The record is from RNAcentral. Lineage: Archaea; Nanobdellati; Microcaldota.
GGGCCGGUAGAUCAAUGGCAGAUCGUUGCCUUCGCGAGGCAAAGGCUGCGGGUUCGAAUCCCGCCCGGUCCA